This is a long non-coding RNA of Hemicordylus capensis (graceful crag lizard), 3118 nucleotides long. RefSeq lists it as uncharacterized. The record is from RefSeq and is a predicted model, not a curated record. The transcript has 5 exons. NCBI's taxonomy places the organism in Eukaryota, Metazoa, Chordata, Lepidosauria, Squamata, Cordylidae.
GCCUGAACUCAAGUAGGGCCCAAGCCAGCCAGGAAGGAGGAGGCAGCCAGAGUGUUCUCUACAGCAGAAGACCCCUUGCUGCCAGAUACCGACAGACAUAUCAACACAUUAAAAUGACUUAUUCCUGCCUGAAAAUUUAACAGAACGGAUGUAUAACUCAGUUAAAUCAAGAAAUCUAGAAUUAAAAUGACUUGGCAGCAAGAUAGCCAUAUUUGCAGAUGAUACCAAACUCUUCCGGGUAGUGAAAUCCAAAAUGGAUUCUUUGGAACUCCAAAAGGAUCUCUCCAAACUGGUCACAGAGAACAGCAAGCGAAUGGGACACCAUGCAUGCACCACUGCGCCAGCAUGCAAAGAGUCUGGCUCGGUUGCUGGCUGGCUGCCCUGCCUCGAGCCAAGAGGUGAAGGUGGAGAGAGCCGGCUGGGUGACCUGUGGGGGAGGAAGACAGAGGACUGUGUGUGUGGUUAACCGAACCAGUUCCCCACUGUUAUUGCCUUGCUGAAAAUCCAUUUCACGGAAUACCCCACCCCCAAACGGGAAAAAAAGAAAAGGAAAAAAAAGGAAUACAAACACUGAAAGGUUUUAAAUUACAAGAAGGAGAAUGGGCUGGAAAGGCUCUCUGAAUCUGCAUCACAGCGUCUACCCAUGCCUCACUAAACAAGUCAUGGAGCGUUGCCCCACCCGCAGUAACAGAAGCACAGAGGACUGAAGAACUAUCACCAAAAAAUUGUGGGCCCCCACCACCGCCUACAUAAUGGACUUACAGUAUGCUGUUGCAUCGGAGCGGCAUUAAUUUGAAUGCUGGCCCUUAUGAUAAAACACCUAACAAGUUGCAUUUGUUGACUAAUGCAGGUAGACAUAUUACAGUGCAGAAUUGGAAGCGUGGGAACUAUUUAAGCUGUAUCUCAGCCUCCAAGGGAAAAGCAAAACCAUCAAAAUUACAUUUUUCAAUUCAGCUCAUUACAAAAAUAAGAUCAGAUUUGACAUGACAUUUUUUCCAUAAUAUCAUGAUGAGACUGGCAUUAAUUACAUUCCUGUCUCUUAAAGCUUUAUUGAUUAAGUCUUAAGUCUGUUUUCCUGUUAUUUUUGGCUGAUAUCUGUGUCUGGUUAAUCAGCCUGCAGAUAGAUGUUUCAUCGUCUUAUCCCUUCCCUAAAUACUAUCAAAACACAAGUUUCGUCCUCAAAAAUUUAAAGAUGUAUCUACUAGGAAAAUCAACCACUUUGUCCAAGUCUUGGAGAUAUUGAUUGUUGGCUUUAAAAUGUUUAUUUAUUUUGGCACAGACCAUAAGAUAGGUAAGGUGUUAUACUGGAUCUCUGCGGGCUGCCAGAAAUAUGGGCUAGAGAUACAGCAGAUGCAACAUUUAGGAUACUGCACAAAUAUGAAGAAAAGCAAAGGAUUCCCAUGUUUUUGUUAAGAAAUUGUGUUCUACAACCUGAACCAUUCCCACAAGGUGUUUGUACUGUCCUCAUCAUACCUUCUUUGGAAUAUAUCAGUGUUGCCAAAAGUAACAGGAGAAAACAAAUGUGGAGUAUUUGUAGAACUGAUGGCCAAACUACAUGCAGAUUCAUAAAAUGGUAGCUUUCUGACCCUUGUGCACUUGAAGAGCCAAUUGGGAAGGUGACCAGGGAAUAGAAAAACAACAGGGGGGGCGGGGCGGGCACUGCUUAACUUUUUCACUGCUUCUUCUUGUUCCCCAUUCCAAAUCGUUCCUUGAAGUGUUUCCUACAGAGGAUGUCCAACACCUGUUUGCCAUUGCCCUCUCCCAAUGCGGUUUCUCAAGCAGAAAAUGGGCCAUUGGACUACUAUUACACAUAUUUAUGUAUGUGUAAUUUGGCCCCUAGUGAUGGAAGCAAUAUAGAUGACAAAAAUCCUAAGCGAUGACCACUGAAAGCUCUAUGGUACUUAACCUUGCCUUCUAAAGAUGCACCUGGUCUUGCCAUACCACGAGCUAAGGAAAGUAACAGGGCUACAUAAAAUGCUGUAGAAUCACUUCUUCAUACAUUGACCCUACAAAUUGCUACAUGUGCAAGCCAACGUAUUCUGCCUACAAGAAAGAAGAACAUGUUUGUUUACUCUCACCCUCUAAACUUAGGCCCAGAAGCCUAACAGUACUCAGCACUCCAGCCCAGGGCAAACUGAAGCAAAGAUGGAAUGGAAACUUGAGUUGGAAUUUCACAUUCAUGUAUAUGGAAGAGGAGAGGGCAGAGGGAACUGAAGCCCAAGCCAGAAACAAAUUGCAGAAUAUGUGAAGUCUUUCUACAGUCUCUUAUAUUAUGCUGGCUUUACAAAUGAGGCUUCAUGCACCCAUACUUUGCCUUGGUCUUUCAGCUCAACAUUGGGCUGUGGUAAGUCCCGACAGAAUUAAACUGGUGUAGCCUUCCCAACAAUUUCCUAGAGACCCCCAAUGAAAUUCUGUCAGAUACAUCUCUCCAGGGCACUGAGAUGUCUGAUACAUCUCUCCAAGGCACUGUACAAAGUCUUUACUGUUUAUGUGGUGUGAACAUUAAGACUGGCACUUUGACUUGCAAUUCCCACAUUUUUAGAGCACGAGUGAAAUUUCAAAGUGUCAUAACUCUCAUCUUAAACCAAAGAGUUCUGGAUUACAGAAUAUUGUAUCCAGUGGGUUAGUUUCUGUGUUUAGAAGCUAAAAUUCUUUUCUCUCAGAUAUGUUAACAAAUUCAAGGACAUUACUAACAUCUUACUAAGUUCUGGAUAUGUAACUGUAGCUACAAGAAGAACAGAAGCAGGUGGUGGUAAUGGGUUUGAGCAAAGCCUUAGCUUCAAGGUAUCCAUUCAUACUCUACAAAGAGAGAGAGAGAGAGCAAGAGGGAUUGAAAUUCUUUCCUCAGAAUUACAGGGUCCUCCCAUAUAACCAGAUCUCCUUCAAAAGAGCACUAAUGGGUUCAACUGAGUCUUUGAUGUUUGUGCUAGUUGCGUGUUUAUUAUAGCAAUACAGAAGAAUCAAGGCGUGCUUAAGCCUUCCUCCCAAUUCCUUUGUAGACAUGAGUUCAAAAACUCAUGUGUAAAGACUGCAAGUGGAACAAGUCUGCACACUCUCUGAGGCAAGAUCCUUAUCAGGUGUCAGGGAGAGACUAUCUUUGUCUGCAAAUAAACUCUUA